Homo sapiens (human) is the source of this 2168-nucleotide long non-coding RNA. Ensembl annotates it as enriched in melanoma 3. Its record names the gene RMEL3. Lineage: Eukaryota; Metazoa; Chordata; Mammalia; Primates; Hominidae. The record is from Ensembl.
UUCCGGUGACAGCUUUGUGUCUGACUUUGUGACAGCUUAGGUAUCAUGCCGGAUUUCCUGCACAUUUUCGUGAAGACCAUCUAGAAGCCCAUGCCUGCUUAUAACUGGCGAGAUGGGAUUAUGGCUUGUCAAGCAGCAGAACACACCCAGUGUCUCCUCUCCUACAGAGCGUCUGCUGCUAUGGACAUGUGCUGCCCUGGGAAAAGUCCACUGAAGGUGGAUGAUGCAGAUGAAAAGGCUACUUCACUUUUGGAAGCUGCCUAAUUCACUUCCAGGAGCAAACUUUUUGAUCGGUAGGAUAUGACUCAGUAAUGCUGAUUGAAUUGGCUUCUCACUGUAUUUGUCAAGGCUGGAACAGACGAUGGCACUGCAGAAUCUUAUGUGCACAGAAGAAAUCUACAGACAUUCAAUGAGGGGAGGAUUUCGUUCCAUCAGAUGGGCUUCCUGACAUAAUUGCAAAGACACAUGAAGACUCAACGAUUUAUCUCCCAUCAACCUCUUCUUAGUUAAUAUCAGCCCAUGUGCUCCAAGAAAACCAGAGGAAAUAUCAAGAAAGAAGAAAACAUGAGACCCUGAAAAUAAAAACCUCAACCCAGAAGGAGACCAUGAAAUAAUUCCAGUAUGUUUGCUUAAUUGUUGGGUAUUCCUGUGACAAAGAAGGCACUACUCAGCCAGCCAGAAUGCACUGACCACCACUGCAGGGUUUCAGUCACAUGAGACAUCUGGGUGAUAGAGGGAAGUGUGGGGAAUGGCUAUCAUUGAUGAGCCUGUAUGUUCUAAGUGAUCUGGGGACUAAGGCUUAUUUUUCUCCAGGCUUGUCUUAUGAAGAAGUUUUAGUCUAUUUGGAAUAGAUAAGGCUUAUACACAUAAAGUAACUGAUACUCAAUUAUAUGUAAUUAUGUUAGUUGGGGAUAAGGCUAAGCUGUGUUAUGUAGUGACUCAAAAAUGCGAUGACUCAAACAAGAUUGGAGCUUGUUUCUCUCCGGGAAUGAAUGAUCCCACACUCGGGGGCAGCUAGGCUGCUGGGAUCCAGGUUCCUUCACCUGUUGCUCUGUUAUGGUUGAAGCUGGCUUAUCCCAACCUCAUUCACAUUUCAGCCCACACAGCUAGGCAGAAGAGGGGUGAAAGUGGAGCAUGAGCAAUGCCUUUUCUUUUAUUUUUUUUAAAGUCAGUAUUAUUGCAUUAUAAUUUACAGAAAAUAAAAUACACCUAUUUUAAGUGUAUACUUUAAUGGGCUUUGGCAGAUUGCUUACACGCAUUGAACCACCACCCUAAUCAAGAUAAUGGCAUUUCCAUCAUCCCUAAACAUUUCCUCAUGCCCUUUGCAGUAAAUGCCAUCUACUCUUGGUCUAAGGUGGCUACUGAUUUGAUAUCUAUCACUACAGAUUAUUUUUGCCUGUUCUAGAAUAUCACAUAAAUGGAAUUAUAUGGCAGGUGCUUUCAGGCUGGGUGAUAUAAGUCAGGUGUCUAAGUUGUAAAUUUAAACAGACACUCACACUAAGUUUUAUGCCAGUGCUGACUCUACAAUGCACCCUGCGCCAUGCUGCAUUGUAUCUUGUUUCUUUUGCCCUGUGUAUUGUUUUUGAGAUUCAUUUAUUUUGUUAUGUGUAUCAGUGGUUCAUCAUUUUUUGUUGCUGUGUAGUAGUCUAUGUCACAAAUUCACUACAAUUUGUUUAUACGUUUGUCUACUGAUGGACGUUGUUUCCGGUUUUGGGCUUUUAUGAACAUAGCUGUCACAAACAGAUGUGUACAAGUAUUUUAGUGAACAUAUGUUUUCAUUUCUCUUGGGUAAAUACUCAGGAAUGGAAUUGCUGGAUCAUAUGGUAAGCGUGUCUUGGUAACUUCAGGAGACUGCUGAACAAUUUUUGAAAGUGAAUUUAAUACUCGAUAGUCUCAUUAGCAAUGUAUGAAAAUUCUAGUUGCUUUACAGCCUCACCAACACUAGUUAUCAUCAACGUGUUUAACUAGCUAUUCUAGUAACUAUGUUGUGAUAUCCAUUGUAGUUUUUUCCUUUUUUGUCCCCGUACCCUAAGCUCCUAUCCAUUGUAGUUUUAAUUUGCAUUGCCCUGAUGACUAGUAAUGUUAAGCAUCAUUAUAUGUGAUUAUAAGCUAUUGUAGUGUUUCGUAAAAUAUUUGUUAAAAUUUUUUGACUAUUAGAAAAAGUAGGU